UACGAAGGGUGCAAGCGUUACUCGGAAUUACUGGGCGUAAAGCGUGCGUAGGUGGUUCGUUAAGUCUGAUGUGAAAGCCCUGGGCUCAACCUGGGAAUGGCAUUGGAAACUGGCGACCUAGAGUGCGGUAGAGAGUAGUGGAAUUCCCGGUGUAGCAGUGAAAUGCGUAGAGAUCGGGAGGAACACCGAUGGCGAAGGCAGCCUCCUGGGCCAACACUGACGCUCAUGCACGAAAGCGUGGGGAGCAAACAGG
RNAcentral lists this ribosomal RNA (253 nucleotides) under uncultured bacterium. RNAcentral's name for it is "partial 16S ribosomal RNA". It matches the Rfam family "Bacterial small subunit ribosomal RNA", at positions 524 to 776 of the family's 1533-position model. The record is from RNAcentral.